Molecule: ribosomal RNA, 166 nt
Filed under: Clostridia bacterium
Lineage: Bacteria; Bacillati; Bacillota; Clostridia
Description: partial 23S ribosomal RNA
Rfam family: Bacterial large subunit ribosomal RNA
Source: RNAcentral
AGUGAUAAACGCUGAAGGCAUCUAAGCGUGAAACAUGCCUCAAGAUUAGAUAUCCCUUGACAUUAGUCAGUAAGGUCACUUGUAGACUACGAGUUUGAUAGGUCAGAGGUGUAAGCGUAGUAAUACGUUUAGCUGACUGAUACUAAUAGACCGAUGGCUUGGACUG